ACGCCCACUAGCUAGCCCACCUUAACAAAACAAAUAACCCAAUAUUUAUAACCCCCAAUACACUUUUCCCCACCCACUAAACAAACCAUUUUACCCCCACAGUAUGGGCGACAAAAAAGGAACUACCGGAGCAACAGAGAAAGUACCGCAAGGGAACGCUGAAAGAGAAGUGAAACAACCCAGUGAAGCUUAAAAUAGCAGAGAUUUAACCUCGUACCUUUUGCAUCAUGAUUUAGCCAGUACACCCCAAGCAAAGCGGCACUUUAGUUUGGGCCCCCGAAACUACGUGAGCUACUCCAAGACAGCCUAUUAAUAGGGCAAACCCGUCUCUGUGGCAAAAGAGUGGGAAGAGCUUUGAGUAGAGGUGACAGACCUAUCGAACCUAGUGAUAGCUGGUUGCCUGAGAAUUGGACAGGAGUUCAGCCUCCCGGCUUCUUUCUUCCCCAUGGUCGCACCCCUAACCGACAUCAAAGAAACCAGGAGAGUUAUUCAAAGGAGGUACAGCCCCUUUGAAACAAGACACAACUUUCCCAGGAGGGUAAAGAUCACAAUCACCAAAGGUAACUUGCUGCGGUGGGCCUAAAAGCAGCCAUCCCUACAGAAAGCGUUAAAGCUCAAGCACUUAACCCAACCAUAUAUUUAGAUAAUCAAAUCCCAACCCCCUAACACUAUCAGGCCAUCUCAUGUACACAUGAGAGUGUUCAUGCUAAUAUGAGUAAUAAGAGAGCUAAGCCUCUCUCCUUGCACACGUGUAAGUCGGAUCGGACCCCCACCGACAAUUAACGGCCCCAAACAAAGAGGGCAAUGAACGACAAGUAAUCAACCAGAAAACCGCUCAAGCAAAUACCGUUAACCCCACACUGGUGUGCCCCCAAGGAAAGACCAAAAGAAGAAGAAGGAACUCGGCAAACACAUCAAGCCUCGCCUGUUUACCAAAAACACCGCCUCUUGCAAAAUGUAAGAAUAAGAGGUCCAGCCUGCCCUGUGACUAUAAGUUUAACGGCCGCGGUAUUCUAACCGUGCGAAGGUAGCGCAAUCACUUGUCUUUUAAAUGAAGACCUGUAUGAAUGGAUCAACGAGGGCUUAACUGUCUCCUUCCUCAAGUCAAUGAAAUUGAUCUCCCCGUGCAGAAGCGGGGAUAAGCACAUAAGACGAGAAGACCCUAUGAAGCUUUAGACACCAAGGCAUGCCACGUUAAAACUCCCCCCACUAAAGGACCAAACUAAAUGGAUUAUGCCCCCUGUCUUUGGUUGGGGCGACCGCGGGGAAAUAAAAAACCCCCACGUGGAAUGGGAACACUACCUUCCCAGAACCAAGAGCUGCAGCUCUAAUAAACAGAAUUUCUGACCAAUUCAGAUCCGGCAAUGCCGAUCAACGGACCGAGUUACUCUAGGGAUAACAGCGCAAUCCCCUUUUAGAGCCCAUAUCGACAAGGGGGUUUACGACCUCGAUGUUGGAUCAGGACAUCCUAAUGGCGCAGCCGCUAUUAAGGGUUCGUUUGUUCAACGAUUAAAGUCCUACGUGAUCUGAGUUCAGACCGGAGUAAUCCAGGUCAGUUUCUAUCUAUGACAUGUUCUUUUCUAGUACGAAAGGGCCGAAAAGAAGAGGCCAAUACUGAAAGCACGCCCCACCCCUCCUAAUGAAAACAACUAAAAUAGGCAAAAGGGCAUAGCCCCCUCCUCCUGAGAUUAAGGCUU
This 1697-nucleotide ribosomal RNA is filed under the name Scombrolabrax heterolepis. RNAcentral's name for it is "16S rRNA". The stretch from base 102 to 1617 matches the Rfam family "Bacterial large subunit ribosomal RNA". Lineage: Eukaryota; Metazoa; Chordata; Actinopteri; Scombriformes; Scombrolabracidae. The record is from RNAcentral.